AUAGAUGUGCUGGAACUGGUAGACAGGGUUGUUUUAGGCACAGCUAGUAAUAUACUGUGUGAGUUCAAGUCUCACCGUCUAUA
Molecule: non-coding RNA, 83 nt
Organism: Triticum urartu
Lineage: Eukaryota; Viridiplantae; Streptophyta; Magnoliopsida; Poales; Poaceae
Source: Rfam